This 145-nucleotide unclassified non-coding RNA is filed under the name soil metagenome. RNAcentral's name for it is "partial internal transcribed spacer 1". The record is from RNAcentral.
UAAUAGGUGUUUUAUGGCACUUUUUAAAUCCAUAUCCACCUUGUGUGCAAUGUCAGUCGAUCUUCUUCAUGGAGAUCGACCAAACAUCAACCUUUAUCUUUUAACUCUUUGUCUGAAAAAUAUUAUGAAUAAACAAUUCAAAAUA